CAAAGUAAGAUUUUCUGUGCCAACCUUCUUGUUUGACUGGUGAUCGAUAAGUGCGAAAAAAAUGACACAUUAUAGAGAGAACCCGGGAAACUGAACUGCGAAAGCUUUUUGGGAGGACAGCUAACGCUGCCGAUUUGUCAUGGAAAAACCGUUUCCGACACGCAGGUACCCGAUCAGAAGGAAAUAACAAGAUUAUAAAAGAACACAAUUUUUGUAACAUAUUGUGUUAUAAAUUAGGUAUCGUUAAAAGAAAAGAAAAUUGUUCAUAGAAGAAAUCUCAAUAUGAAGCAUUGAUGAAGAAUACGGGGGGAGAUGUUUUUAGAGAGCUUCUAGCUUACCCGGACAAAGGAUGAUUAUUGAAAGUAACUCAGGCAACAGAUGAAUCGGAUUACAUGUUUGUUAAGGUACCUAAAGGAAUAGGAAGUGCAACGGUCACAGGAAGAAGAUCCAACAACCCAAGUGGCAAAAGAAAGGUAACAUCAAUGGAAGGACCGGCUCAACUCUAAGUAUCGAAUCCUCCGGAUAAAUUAGACCCGGAAAAAGUUGAAUAAAUGAAAGACCGACUUUCCGAGAACAGGAUCUUAAUGAAUGAUCCUCGAGGCACUGCAGUAAAAAUUGCGAAAAAAGUUCCACAAUUCAUCGCAAUCGUUGACGCGAACAACCCAGCCCUCCGAUCAGGACCCUAAGUUUCUUCAUAUCUAGCAUAUUUAGCUUAUUAAUUUAUGGAAUUAAAUGCAAUGUUGCUGCACAUAUUUUCGAUCAGAUAAUGCUAAAUUCUGGCUAAUCUGUGCAGCAUCAA
Molecule: long non-coding RNA, 799 nt
Organism: Topomyia yanbarensis
Lineage: Eukaryota; Metazoa; Arthropoda; Insecta; Diptera; Culicidae
Exons: 3
Source: RefSeq, a predicted model, not a curated record